AGCUCCAAUAGCGUAUAUUAAAGUUGUUGCAGUUAAAAAGCUCGUAGUUGGAUUUGUUGUGAGAGUUGAUAUGAUGAACAAAGUUUAUUGUAUUUGAUUCCACAUUCUUUGUGUUGGAUUUGGGAUGGCAUUGAGUUGCUGCCUCAAAGACACGCAUCUUUUACUGUGAAAAAAUUAGAGUGUUUAAAGCAGACGUUAUUGUCGUUGAAUACAUUAGCAUGGAAUAAUAAUAUAUGACUCGAUUGGUCUAUUUUGUUGGUUUGCACAUUUGAGUAAUGAUUAAUAGGGACAGUUGGGGAUAUUCAUAUUUGAGCGUCAGAGGUGAAAUUCUUGGAUCGCUGAAAGAUGAGCUAAGGCGAAAGCAUUUAUCAAGGAUGUUUUCAUUA
Molecule: ribosomal RNA, 386 nt
Filed under: Halophytophthora sp.
Lineage: Eukaryota; Oomycota; Peronosporomycetes; Peronosporales; Peronosporaceae
Description: partial small subunit ribosomal RNA
Rfam family: Eukaryotic small subunit ribosomal RNA
Source: RNAcentral